This 75-nucleotide transfer RNA is filed under the name Bacteroidota bacterium. Its description in RNAcentral is "tRNA-Val". It matches the Rfam family "tRNA". Rfam says of the family: Transfer RNA (tRNA) molecules are approximately 80 nucleotides in length. RNAcentral also lists the same sequence under 3 other names. Lineage: Bacteria; Pseudomonadati; Bacteroidota. The record is from RNAcentral.
GGGCGCAUAGCUCAGCUGGUUCAGAGCACCUGCCUUACAAGCAGGGGGUCGGAGGUUCGAAUCCUUCUGCGCCCA